RNAcentral lists this ribosomal RNA (275 nucleotides) under uncultured bacterium. RNAcentral's name for it is "partial 16S ribosomal RNA". It matches the Rfam family "Bacterial small subunit ribosomal RNA", at positions 523 to 797 of the family's 1533-position model. The record is from RNAcentral.
AUACAGAGGGUGCGAGCGUUAAUCGGAAUUACUGGGCGUAAAGCGCGCGUAGGCGGCUUGGUCAGUCGGAUGUGAAAGCCCCGGGCUCAACCUGGGAAUGGCAUUCGAUACUGCCAGGCUAGAGUAUGGGAGAGGGAAGUGGAAUUUCCGGUGUAGCGGUGAAAUGCGUAGAUAUCGGAAGGAAAACCAGUGGCGAAGGCGACUUCCUGGCCCAAUAUUGACGCUGAGGUGCGAAAGCGUGGGGAGCGAACAGGAUUAGAAACCCUAGUAGUCCC